Musca domestica (house fly) is the source of this 710-nucleotide long non-coding RNA. RefSeq lists it as uncharacterized. The transcript has 4 exons. NCBI's taxonomy places the organism in Eukaryota, Metazoa, Arthropoda, Insecta, Diptera, Muscidae. The record is from RefSeq and is a predicted model, not a curated record.
UCACGCACUCAUCAAACAAUUUAUAACCAGGUCUCUAUAUUGUGCAGGUAAACGACCAUGGUUGUGUAUAAAAAUAAAGUGCAAGUGAUAUUUAAAAUUGGCAGUGCAUCUGCCUGAAACUUAUUUGUGUGUUAUGAAAAAAGUAUAAAAUUAAAUUUAAACAAAGAACUGAUGUGCGGAUAGACAGAUUGUCAACCAACAAAAAUAGGAUAUCCAAACGGCUUUAAAUCGCUGCAUAAGGAGUAAACUGCUGAUUGGCGUAUUUCAAGAACAUAAUUCAGUGGUAUUUCCGUCAAAGGAAAAGGAACUUCAUAUGACUUUUUUCAGCGGGAUUUGGCUUUCUUUCUUUUCUUUGAUUUUUAGGUGGGAUCUACUGGUUAGCUUCCCGGAUUGGUACUAUUGCCUGUUCCAAGGGUUAUCCACUGGCAGUUUCCCAGGUCUUUUGGCCGUUUCCAGAACCUUUUCGUUGCCUGGAACCCCUGUGCCGCACCUGGCGAUACAAAAAUAAUUGUUGGGGAUGCCCGCUUCUUUUUCGUCCAAGUCGGAUGGCGCUGUCCAAUUGUGGAUUUAUGCGCGGCGUUAUUCCUAAAUAGAACACAAAAACUUAACACAACACAUCCGACAUAACAUCACUUACAAAUCAACACUUACAAAUUGUUUAGAUACGCCACACAAAUAAAACAAUAAAACACACAAAUUGUAACUGCCAA